Molecule: long non-coding RNA, 907 nt
Organism: Herpailurus yagouaroundi (jaguarundi)
Lineage: Eukaryota; Metazoa; Chordata; Mammalia; Carnivora; Felidae
Exons: 2
Source: RefSeq, a predicted model, not a curated record
AAUUACAGAUUUUUAAAGCCUAUUUUUUCUGCUGCACUCUCUUCAGUCCAGUUUCCUUUCCUCUGUGUGCUUCAGUCUCUCCACUCCAUGUUGAAAACUUCCCUCAAAUGUCUGAUGAGCCUUCUUUCCCUGCUUGAAUGUGGGAGACACCGCAGUGGGUAGGCUCGGGCUCAAACAAGCGUGUCCCCAGCCUCCAAGCAAAAGUGGUUAAAACAAGACAGAGGGUGGUUGCUCCCGUCAGUGGGGGGCCGAGGGCUGGGGUCAGGGUUCCCCAAUCUUCAGGGACCCCAUCUUUUCCCCUUUGCUGUUCCACCGCCCUCACGGGCCACGACGGCCUCCCAGGCUGCGGCUCUCGUGCCUGCGAGCCCGCCGGAAAGGAAGAAGGGUCAGGAAGGUGAGACCCUGGAGCCGGUAUCCAUGUGCCAAGUCCAUGGACCAGAACUUGGCACACGCAGCUGCAAGGAAGGCUGGAAGGCAGAGUUUUUGUGGGAGACACGUUUCCAGGGCAUCUUGGCACAGGUGCACAUGGCGUCCGUUCUAGGGCUGCGUGUGCGGCAGUGUGGACGGUAUCAAACCACGGAAGCAGCUUGCCAUCAACAGGGCGCUGCCACGUAGCUCCCGCGUGCAUCUCAAAGGCAUAUCAUCAAGGAGAGAAGGCAAGAGGAGAGAGCAUUUAGUAUGCUACGACUGUAAACGGGCCUGCACACCCUUAUCUGCUGACACGCUAACCGCCUGUGGAGGGAAACACGCAUUGCUGACCACGGUGGCUGGCUGGGCCGUAGGACAAGGUUCACCAUACUCAUGUUGUAUAUGUGAGUCAGGUUUUGCCUCUGCGAGCAAAAAAAAAAAAAAAAAAAAAAAAAAAAAAAAAAAAUCAAAUAAUGAAAUAAACCAACAAUUAGGAAAG